Molecule: non-coding RNA, 197 nt
Filed under: Perkinsus marinus ATCC 50983
Lineage: Eukaryota; Perkinsozoa; Perkinsida; Perkinsidae
Description: Eukaryotic large subunit ribosomal RNA
Rfam family: Eukaryotic large subunit ribosomal RNA
Source: Rfam by way of RNAcentral
UCGGCCUGACCAAAAUUCAAGCUGCUAUACCUCUGGCUGCAUUGACUUGUGGUCAGAGUGUAUGGUGAUCAUAGCAUGCAAGUAUUGGGCUCGAUAAAUCCUUUGAAGACGACUUAAUUGCAUCCGGGUAUGUAAGUGUUGAGAGUAGGCUUAGUCUUACGAUCCACUGAGAUUCAUCCCGUGUUGCGCCGAUUUGU